Molecule: long non-coding RNA, 2687 nt
Filed under: Homo sapiens (human)
Lineage: Eukaryota; Metazoa; Chordata; Mammalia; Primates; Hominidae
Description: HSALNT0335850
Source: RNAcentral
GUCAAUGUACAUGGCUCUGGAGUCGGAGUAUUGUCUACUUUUGAGUACUUAUAUCCAAAAGGAAGAUGCUCACAGUCAUAAAGUGGUCCAUAGCCUCUAACAACACAGUGGUGAGGCAUGCAUUGCUCCCUGGAAAUCAAGUGCACUGCACUAUAUAUUGACUUCCGACAAUGAAAGUAUUUGGAGAAGGGCUCAGACAGUGUCACAAGCCUCAAGCAGUGCAGGCUAGAACUCACAGGCAAAAGAACGGGCAGAAUACAUGGAGACCCCAGCCUGCAGACCCUCGGCAUCACAUAGAGAGGUGUACUUGGGCCAGAUCCUUUACCUGGGCUCCAGACUUCGACUACACAAAGGCAGAGCAGGGAUAUAUGGAGAUUAUAAAUGCUCGCUGCAGGAUGAUACCAGGAGACUGUGAAGUGGUGAGAUGGUGAAGCCACAAGUUUAAAGCAGUGUGAUUCCUCAGUCACCUCUUUGAAGUGAACAACUUAAAUCUCAUCAGACUGGGAUGUGAGCAAGAAUAAGUCUUGAUUCUAUCAAGCCAUUAAGAUCUUGAAGUUGUUUGUUUACUUCUGAAAUAUGUUUAAGGAUUUUAGUUGGCAGUAAAUUUACAUGGAUCAACUAGAAAGAUGCUUUCUAUCCUUGACUUCUCAGCAAUAUUUAACUACAAGCCCCCUUUCCUAAUAGAAACAUUCAAUUCCUUUUGCUUCUGUGGCCCAGCAUCCUCCAGGUUUUCCUCCUGUCCUGCUAGCUGCUCCUUUCUCUGCCUUUCUUUGUGUCCUCUUCCAAAGGACUAUUAAUUGUUGAGUUUCUUUUGGUUCAGUCUUCUGGCCUUUCCUCUUUUCAUUUUUUUUUUCAUGUGAUUUGGAUUACCAUCUAUAUGCGAGAAGACUCGGAAAUUUAUAUCACUACCUUAAAUGUUCUUCUGCACUCCACACACAUAAUCCAACUUCCUAAUUGAUAUUUUCUCAUGGACUUUUCAAUGACUCUUCAUACAAACCUGCACUCAGAAUUUUUCUUUCCAAAUCUGGCCCUCUUCAAUGUUUCCCACCUCAGGGAAUGGCACACCACCUAUCCAGUCACAUGAGACAGAAACCAAAAGUCCAGCAAUCCUUCCUCACCCCUGUCCACUCUUCUCCCACCUUAGCUGAUCCAUUACCAAGUCUUAUCAAUUUCCCUCCUAAAUAUUUAUCAAAUGCAUUCUCUCCCUGCUGGCUCCACCAACGAUCCUGCCAUUAUCUCUUACCCAAGCUCCUGCAAUAGCCUUUUUACUAAUCUGUGUGCAUAUGCUCUGGUGUCUCUUCAAUCCUGAUCCACUCUUCAUAGUAAUAUUUAAAAAUUAAAAACUUGUCUCUUUCCUAUUUAAAGUUCCUCAAUAGUUUUUCCAUUUGUUGUGUUAGGCUAAUGAUAAAACAUGAUUUUGACGAUCCUGCACAUUCUGGCGCCUUCUACCUCUCUGGCUCACCUCACCUCCUGCAGACUCCAUGGUUCUUUGCUCCAUUCAUACUGGACUUCCUUCCAUCCCUCAAACUUUCAUCAGGUUUUCUCCUGUGACUCCCACUGCACAUGUCCUGACACACUUCUUUCUCUUCUUAACCUAUCAAGUCUACCUUUCCUUCAGCUUCUGCUCAAGAAAGAAGCCAUUUUGAUCUCCUGAUUAGUUCAAAUCUUCCUAUAACAGGUUUUCAUAAGACUGUAUACUUUUUAUUAGGACUUGUCAUGGGUGCAAUUUUACAUCUAUUUGUGUGAUUACUUGAUACCUCUCAGUAUCCUCCACUAAACAAUAAGCUCUAAGGAAGUAGGGACAUGUUGUCUUUUGUUCGUUUUUAUCUCCAGCCUCUAAUACAGUGCCGGACAUAGAUGAGGCUCUUUCAGUGAGUAUUUGCCAAAGGAAGAAUGGUAGGAAGAUGGGAAAGAAGGGAGGAAAUAAAAUAGAAGAAGAUGAGUCCAUAUCUUCUCUAUAUUUGCCAAUUUGCACCUGGAGCAUUGGAUUAAGUUCUGGGUGCCAUAUUUUGAGAUAAAAACAAGCUGGAAUAUAUUCAGAAGAAAGGAAUCAGAAAGAUCAGGAGAGGCAAAGUUGGGAUUGAUGCAUCAAAUAGGUAAUUGGAUGCUUUUUUCAAUUUCUUCCAACCAAAAGUUUCUAAUUCAAAGAAACUACUUCAUGUUGUAAAAUAAUUUACAUAAUUCCUCUUUCACAAAUUAAGGCAUUUAAAAGGAAAACACUUUCAUGUUUGUAAAUAAUCUUUAAAAUAGUUUACUGAGAAAAAAUGCAUGAAAAAAUUCUGCAGUGUCUCUGGGCACUUAUUUUGAUUGACUGGUGCAGGCACUUUUAGCCCCCUUUCUCCUGCUUUCUAUUUCUAUUCUAAUACAACGGAAUUAUCUUUUUGCAAUAAAUUUCAUGAGUAGUCUACUGUGAACAUAUAUGUUCUAAUCAAAGAAGAUAUAGCUUAUAAUGAUUGUCAAAAUCAUUCUUUUUUAUUAUGUAGAUUUACUGCCUGAUUACUUCUAAGUGUGAUUUUUUGCCUUUUGAUACUAUUGCUUAUGUACAUGAAAUUUAGAGUUAUGGAUUAAAGAAUAUAUAACCAGAUUAGCUGCAAACUAUGAACAUUAAUAAAAGAGACUAAUAAAAUUAUAAAACUAUCUACUAUGGCUAUUUAUUGAAAAUUACAAAUUUCCUAAAAGUUGCUGAU